Molecule: ribosomal RNA, 253 nt
Filed under: uncultured bacterium
Lineage: Bacteria
Description: partial 16S ribosomal RNA
Rfam family: Bacterial small subunit ribosomal RNA
Source: RNAcentral
UACGUAGGGGGCAAGCGUUGUCCGGAAUCAUUGGGCGUAAAGAGCGUGUAGGCGGUUCAGUAAGUCUGCUGUGAAAGUCCAGGGCUCAACCCUGGGAUGCCGGUGGAUACUGCUGGGCUAGAGUACGGAAGAGGCGAGUGGAAUUCCCGGUGUAGCGGUGAAAUGCGCAGAUAUCGGGAGGAACACCUAUUGCGAAGGCAGCUCGCUGGGACGUUACUGACGCUGAGACGCGAGAGCGUGGGGAGCAAACAGG